GCCAGGUGUGGUGGCGCUCGCCUGUAAUCCCAGCUACCAGGGAGGCUGAGGCAGGAGAAUUGCUUGAACCCAAGAAGUGGAAGGUGCAGUGAGCCGAUAUCGCACCACUGCACUCCAGCCUGGGUGACAAAGCAAGACUCUGUCUCAA
RNAcentral lists this non-coding RNA (148 nucleotides) under Pan paniscus (pygmy chimpanzee). RNAcentral also lists the same sequence under 1 other name. The record is from Rfam by way of RNAcentral. Lineage: Eukaryota; Metazoa; Chordata; Mammalia; Primates; Hominidae.